UUGUGAGAUGUAAAAAUGUAACAAGGUUUCCGUAGGUGAACCUGCGGAAGGAUCAUUACAGAAUGAAAAGUGCUUAACUGCAUUUUUUCUUACACAUGUGUUUUUCUUUUUUUGAAAACUUUGCUUUGGUAGGCCUUCUAUAUGGGGCCUGCCAGAGAUUAAACUCAACCAAAUUUUAUUUAAUGUCAACCGAUUAUUUAAUAGUCAAAACUUUCAACAACGGAUCUCUUGGUUCUCGCAUCGAUGAAGAACGCAGCGAAAUGCGAUAAGUAAUAUGAAUUGCAGAUAUUCGUGAAUCAUCGAAUCUUUGAACGCACAUUGCGCCCUUUGGUAUUCCAAAGGGCAUGCCUGUUUGAGCGUCAUUUCUCCCUCAAACCCUCGGGUUUGGUGUUGAGCGAUACGCUGGGUUUGCUUGAAAGAAAGGCGGAGUAUAAACUAAUGGAUAGGUUUUUUCCACUCAUUGGUACAAACUCCAAAACUUCUUCCAAAUUCGACCUCAAAUCAGGUAGGACUACCCGCUGAACUUAAGCAUAUCAUAAGCGGGGAGGAA
Molecule: ribosomal RNA, 550 nt
Filed under: Lodderomyces parapsilosis
Lineage: Eukaryota; Fungi; Ascomycota; Pichiomycetes; Serinales; Debaryomycetaceae
Description: eukaryotic LSU rRNA
Rfam family: 5.8S ribosomal RNA (bases 209-362)
Source: RNAcentral